Long non-coding RNA from Daphnia magna, 1252 nucleotides. RefSeq lists it as uncharacterized. The transcript is spliced from 2 exons. The record is from RefSeq and is a predicted model, not a curated record. Lineage: Eukaryota; Metazoa; Arthropoda; Branchiopoda; Diplostraca; Daphniidae.
ACCCAGGUUCUUAGACCAUGGCCAGAUGGCACUCCCACCAGGCGGAAAAUCACUCUUACGCCCCGACCAUGCCCCGACCCAAAACUCUCGUUUUUUUGUGUAGUAUUUCCCGCAAGAGGGUACCCCUUUUCUGAGAGGGAAAAUGAGUCAUAGCAGAGUUAUCGAGGGGAUGGUUCAUUCACUGCACCGACUUUGCCAUAAGGCUUGGUCGUCAAAAUUCUCCUUAACGAUGGUGGUGGCACCUAGUGGAUUUGGCAAAUGUGGCGUUGAAGACAAACAAAAUAUCAAAUAAUUUAAUCCAGCGUAAUCGCAUUCAUCUGCUUUAUAAUUUUAAAUGAUUUACACAGCUUCCAGAAUGCAGAGACACAUGUAUCAUGUAACUUGGAAACGUAAACGAAGAAUUUUCUAAAAAAACGUUUUUGAAACCGAAAGGCAAAUCGUUUUUCUGCCACGACUAACCAUUUCCUAAUCAAACAAUCUUGAAUCAUUUACUCAAACCCAAGAGGUUCCAGAAUUUAUGUGUAUUGAGUCACGAAAUAGUACAUUAAUGAAUCGGUAAAUAAAUACCAUGAGAAAUUUUAAAAGAAGAGGAGCAGGAAUGGCUCGUUCAAAGAAUCAUUUUUCUUAUAUUCGUCCCGUCUGUCAUUUCAUUUGUUUGCCACGUUUAUUUAUUAGCUAUAUUUUUUAAGUUCUCUUUUUCUUUCCACGUCCUUUUGUUUCUGGAGUGCCAACAGCUGCCUCGCUUUUGCGUUUUGAACCCUUUGUUGGUGUUGCUUCACUUUUGGCUCCGUCGUCCUCCAAUUUCGGUAUGGCUUCAACUUUAGUUCCUAUGCUAGUCUUGGGUCCCCGUUUCUUCUUGUCUACCUUUUCCUUUUCUUCCCAUUCUUGAACCUCCCUCUCAAUCAAGGUAAUGAGAGUAUUGCAGCGUCUCUGUAGCUCCAUUGCUGUUCGCGACUUCAAGAACCAGUCAAAACGGAACUGGGGGGCAGAUCUAUAGAUCAACAGGACAGUAACGAUCGGUGAUAAAUUUACACUUCUGGCAUUUGAUCUUACCUAACGGCAGCUCGCAGCUCUUCAUAUACGUUCUCUUUGUCGAAUCCUAAACGAUGUAGCAUGCAAACUAAAAAGCGGUCCUCUUCCUCAGUGUAAUUUUUUCCUUUGUUAGUUCCAUAGGCAAUACGUAAUUGAUGGAAGGGAGCUCGAUACUUUGACAUCUGAAAAACAAAAUAAUAAAAGUGCAAUCAACCAUCAA